GGAUGAACGCUGGCGGCGUGCCUAACACAUGCAAGUCGAGCGGAGAUAUAUGUCUAAGAGACUUCGGUCAAAUUAAUUAUAUCUUAGCGGCGGAUGGGUGAGGAACGCGUGGAGAACCUGCCCUUCACAGGGGGAUAACAGCUGGAAACGGCUGUUAAUACCGCAUAUGCUCACAGCACCGCAUGGUGCAGGGAGGAAAGCCGAGACGGUGAAGGAUGGCUCCGCGUCGGAUUAGCCGGUUGGCGGGUAACGGCCCACCAAAGCGAUGAUCCGUAGCCGGCCUGAGAGGGCGACCGGCCACAUUGGGACUGAGACACGGCCCAAACUCCUACGGGAGGCAGCAGUGGGGGAUAUUGCACAAUGGGGGAAACCCUGAUGCAGCGACGCCGCGUGAAGGAAGACGUGCUCCGGCAUGUAAACUUCUAUCAGCAGGGAAGAAGAUGACGGUACCUGACUAAGAAGCCCCGGCUAACUACGUGCC
This 481-nucleotide ribosomal RNA is filed under the name uncultured bacterium. RNAcentral describes it as "bacterial SSU rRNA". It matches the Rfam family "Bacterial small subunit ribosomal RNA", at positions 27 to 509 of the family's 1533-position model. The record is from RNAcentral.